RNAcentral lists this ribosomal RNA (374 nucleotides) under uncultured bacterium. Its description in RNAcentral is "bacterial SSU rRNA". It matches the Rfam family "Bacterial small subunit ribosomal RNA", at positions 29 to 407 of the family's 1533-position model. The record is from RNAcentral.
AUUGAACGCUGGCGGCAUGCCUUACACAUGCAAGUCGAACGGUAACGCGGGGCAACCUGGCGACGAGUGGCGAACGGGUGAGUAAUGCAUCGGAACGUGCCCAGUAGUGGGGGAUAGCCCGGCGAAAGCCGGAUUAAUACCGCAUACGACCUACGGGUGAAAGCGGGGGACCGUAAGGCCUCGCGCUAUUGGAGCGGCCGAUGUCAGAUUAGGUAGUUGGUGGGGUAAAGGCCUACCAAGCCUACGAUCUGUAGCUGGUCUGAGAGGACGACCAGCCACACUGGGACUGAGACACGGCCCAGACUCCUACGGGAGGCAGCAGUGGGGAAUUUUGGACAAUGGCGCAAGCCUGAUCCAGCCAUGCCGCGUGCGGG